Molecule: ribosomal RNA, 274 nt
Filed under: uncultured bacterium
Lineage: Bacteria
Description: partial 16S ribosomal RNA
Rfam family: Bacterial small subunit ribosomal RNA
Source: RNAcentral
AGACGAACCGGACAAACGUUAUUCGGAAUCAUUGGGCUUAAAGGGUGCGUAGGCGGUGCGGAAAGUUGGGUGUGAAAUCCCUCGGCUCAACCGAGGAACUGCGCUCAAAACUUCCGUGCUAGAGUGAGACAGAGGUGAGCGGAACUGAUGGUGGAGCGGUGAAAUGCGUUGAUAUCAUCAGGAACACCGGUGGCGAAGGCGGCUCACUGGGUCUCUACUGACGCUGAGGCACGAAAGCUAAGGUAGCGAACAGAAUUAGAAACCCCGGUAGUCC